AUUUAUAUAGUUUAUAAAAACAUUUCAUUUUCAAUGAAAAGAUAGGGCUAACCUUUAUAAA
Molecule: transfer RNA, 61 nt
Filed under: Quernocoris caliginosus
Lineage: Eukaryota; Metazoa; Arthropoda; Insecta; Hemiptera; Miridae
Description: tRNA-Glu
Rfam family: tRNA
About the family: Transfer RNA (tRNA) molecules are approximately 80 nucleotides in length.
Source: RNAcentral